UCAGGCCUAACACAUGCAAGUCGAACGGCAGCACGGGAGCAAUCCUGGUGGCGAGUGGCGAACGGGUGAGUAAAGUAUCGGAACGUGCCCAGUCGUGGGGGAUAACGUAGCGAAAGCUACGCUAAUACCGCAUGAGAUCUGCGGAUGAAAGCGGGGGAUCGAAAGACCUCGCGCGACUGGAGCGGCCGAUAUCAGAUUAGGUAGUUGGUGGGGUAAAGGCCUACCAAGCCUGCGAUCUGUAGCUGGUCUGAGAGGACGACCAGCCACACUGGGAGUGAGACACGGCCCAGACUCCUACGGGAGGCAGCAGUGGGGAAUUUUGGACAAUGGGCGAAAGCC
Molecule: ribosomal RNA, 339 nt
Filed under: uncultured bacterium
Lineage: Bacteria
Description: bacterial SSU rRNA
Rfam family: Bacterial small subunit ribosomal RNA
Source: RNAcentral